ACACACAGCACGUUCUAUAUCCACGACUGACAGCUUUACUCGGCUCGUUUUCUGUGAACGAUGUUGCGAGGGGGUAACGUUAAGGCGGAGCUAGCAAGCG
Long non-coding RNA from Etheostoma cragini (Arkansas darter), 100 nucleotides. RefSeq lists it as uncharacterized. NCBI's taxonomy places the organism in Eukaryota, Metazoa, Chordata, Actinopteri, Perciformes, Percidae. The transcript is spliced from 4 exons. The record is from RefSeq and is a predicted model, not a curated record.